ACAAAAAUUAUCUUUUAUUUUUUAUCUCUGAAUUUUUGUCUGUAGUCUGGAUUACACCAUGCAGUACGUAACAAGUUCCUAUACAUUUAAAAAAAAUAACUCAUUGAAGUUCUACUCGAAGCUAGUUGUUUAUAUUGUUUUAAAAAUAUUUGAAUUCCAUCCUCAUCAACUACUAUGUCGUGCCUACGAGGCCGGACCGCUGGACUGGAAGGAAGUCCGUUGGGUACUUGGGUUGGUCACCACCGUCAUACUACGCCGGACGCACCUGGACGAGGCUGUCCCCUUGAGUCCCAUUUUCGUUUUAAGGGUAAUCGUGUCGAUCCAGGGCAAUUUUUUUUUUUUUUUUUUGUCGAGACAGAACAUCUAGGUGGCUGCGCGAACGGCGGUUGUAUAUUUUAAACAGGAGGGUACGAUGAAUGGCGGGCAGCGCCGCAGUGUGCAGGCUGCCCGGACUGCCCUGGAUUGGUUGGAGCCUCGCUUCUAUAAAUUGGAGCGUUGCGUUGGAUUAACGCAGUUUGCUGCUCUGGCUCAUUAAGGUUUGUGAGCGGUUGACUAAAGUAAUCGUGUGUCUUCUCAUCAAACUUGCUGAAAUGUGUUCUUUCAUCAAGCCCGUUCAGUGAUGCUGACGAUCAAGUUUGCUUUAGACAGCUGUUAGUAAGAUGGUGGCUUUGGAUCAAAUAAUGGUUGCCCUCACAGGCGCGCCAGGUUGAUACUCGGAUGUACCCCGUCCCCGUGUCACGGUAAAAUAUUCGAAUUAUUAUUUAAGUAUUCAUGCUUUAAUUUUCAGUUAUAAUAUAUUUGUAAAAUUUUUUUUUAAGUAUGAAAUGUAAAUAAAAGAUAUUGGAUUUCUGGACUAGUUGUUACAUGAGCUUUCUGAUUGACCUUGUUGGUCGAUGGAAAAUUUUCAUGAAA
Zingiber officinale is the source of this 912-nucleotide long non-coding RNA. RefSeq lists it as uncharacterized. The transcript is spliced from 2 exons. Lineage: Eukaryota; Viridiplantae; Streptophyta; Magnoliopsida; Zingiberales; Zingiberaceae. The record is from RefSeq and is a predicted model, not a curated record.